UUUCCGUAGGUGAACCUGCGGAAGGAUCAUUAUCAUGUAAUUCAGUCCCCUUGGCUGUGUUAUAUAUAUACCCACUCUGUGUACCUUCUCCUGUUGCUUCCGCUGGGUGUGUAAUUCGCCCGGCGGAAGGGUAAAAAUAACCUCUGAGUAUUGAUGAAAUCUCUGUCUGGACCGAAUAGAAAGAAAAAUGUUAAAACUUUCAGCAACGGAUCUCUUGGUUCUC
RNAcentral lists this unclassified non-coding RNA (223 nucleotides) under plant metagenome. RNAcentral's name for it is "partial contains small subunit ribosomal RNA, internal transcribed spacer 1, and 5.8S ribosomal RNA". The record is from RNAcentral.